RNAcentral lists this non-coding RNA (27 nucleotides) under Bombyx mori (domestic silkworm). Lineage: Eukaryota; Metazoa; Arthropoda; Insecta; Lepidoptera; Bombycidae. The record is from RNAcentral.
UCGCAAUAUCUUACUGGUCGUCGUCGC